RNAcentral lists this long non-coding RNA (1428 nucleotides) under Equus caballus (horse). RNAcentral describes it as "lncRNA (ENSECAG00000045082.1)". Lineage: Eukaryota; Metazoa; Chordata; Mammalia; Perissodactyla; Equidae. The record is from RNAcentral.
GAAGCAGUAAACACAGAAAAAAACCCUCCCCCUUUUCUGCCUAAAGGCAGGAUAUAAAUUCUCCUUUUACUGGAGAGAGACUCUUAUCAGCUCCGAGAUGGCACAAGCGGAAUCUGCACACAAACUUUAUUCCAUUCGUUCCCUCCUAUAUUUACCUUCCCACGGUUUGCCGCCUUUGGAAGCCUAAAACCGCCUCCCUUUGUCCUGUCGUUUCUCUACAAAUUUGUUGGUUUUUGUUGAAGAUGCUAUACAAGCUGGAAUUCAAAGCCGCCAUUUUGAGUUAGUCUUGGUUUCUGUUUCUCCCACGUGAUGUGCGCUGCAUGCCUUAACGAACUGUUUUUCCUCCGUUAAUCUGUCUUUUUGUUAAAGACUCCCAGCUGAAAGCCUAAGAUGGAGCGAGGUAAAGUUUUGCCUCCCCUGCACCCUCAUGGACUCAGAAGACCUCCCGGUGACUCCGGCAGAUAGCCCAAGUAUAUUUAAGGCAAUUAUAAACCUGCAAGCUUUGGCAAUCACACCUUACUCCCCGUAUAUGGUCAAGUGUGGUGUGAUGAGUUUUCUGUAACGUCCCCCAUAUCAAGUAUUCAAGCAUAAAAGGAUGGAAAAGAAGGCAAGGGUUUCUCAGGGAGUGAACUAUCUGAUGCUAAUGAGACAGUGUAGAUGACUUAUGAAUACCUGCCUCGUCGGGUCUUUCGCUGGAGGAAAGUCUUCUGAUGAGAGAUGCCGAGUAUGUGUUCUCUCCUCUAACACCCGGCUCUUCCUCCCACUCCCUCCUCCUCCUCUCCUCGGGUACGCAGAGAGUCUGUGCAAUCUGCACCGACGUCUUGAAGUUGCAGCCUGGAUACCCAUCCACACCCACACUACAACCCAAAGACUCAUGCCACCCUCGUCUCACAGUUGCCCUGGAAUUCAUGUUCUCUGAGUGACCAGCUCUUGAUGAAGACCUGCCUAAUUGUUCUACCUAGAGACUUGGACAAGAGCCUGUGAGAAAGAACUAAAGGCUUGCAAAUGUGAGCAUAAACUUAGGCCAGUGAAACACAGAGCACUUUCUCAGUCCCACCCAGACUGCAAACAUUGAUUUAGAGGUUUCCACCAAAAGCAAUAUUUUGCCUUGACCUAACAUAUUUGGCUGCACUGGCUGCACACAUAAGAUCAAGAGAGACGCCAUCUCUGAGGUGUGGUGUCUACUUGGAUGAACAUAUUCUCUUCCUAGGAUCUGUGGAUAAAGCCAACGCUUAUUAUUACUAACUGUCAGCCACUAUUCUAGGGAUGUUUUACAUGGGUUAAGUCCUUCAGUUCUUGCAACAACCCUAUAAGGUAGAUAAUAUCAUUAUCCCCAUUCUAGAGAUGAGGAAACCGAGACACAGAGAACUUGAGUAACUUGCCCAAAUUCACAAAGCAAUUAAAUUUAAUGUCUUUAAUACUUUCCAA